This 407-nucleotide ribosomal RNA is filed under the name uncultured bacterium. RNAcentral describes it as "partial 16S ribosomal RNA". It matches the Rfam family "Bacterial small subunit ribosomal RNA", at positions 28 to 526 of the family's 1533-position model. The record is from RNAcentral.
GACGAACGCUGGCGGCGUGCCUAAUACAUGCAAGUAGAACGCAGUUGCGAACGGGUGAGUAACGCGUAGGUAACUGCCUCAUAGGGGGGGAUAACUAUUGGAAACGAUAGCUAAUACCGCAUACUGUGAGAUGGACCUGCGUUGGAUUAGGUAGUUGGUGAGGUAAAGGCUCACCAAGGCGACGGUACAUAGCCGACCUGAGAGGGUGGUCCGCCAAACUGGGACUGGGACACGGGCCAGACUUCUUCGGGGGGCAGCAGUAGGGAAUUUUCGGAAAUGGAGGGAAGUCCGGCCGAGGAAAGCCGGGGGAUUGGAGGAGGGUUUCGGGUCGUAAAGGUCUGUUGUUAGGGAAGCGUUAACUACCCAGAAAGGGCCGGCUAACUACGUGCCAGCAGCCGCGGUAAUAC